UACAGAGGUCCCAAGCGUUGUUCGGAUUUACUGGGCGUAAAGGGUGCGUAGGUGGUCGGAAAAGUCCGAUGUGAAAUCUCCGAGCUUAACUCGGAAAUGGCAUUGGAUACUAUUCGGCUGGAGGGUUGGAGGGGAGACUGGAAUUCUCGGUGUAGCAGUGAAAUGCGUAGAUAUCGAGAGGAACACCAGUGGCGAAGGCGAGUCUCUGGACAACUCCUGACACUGAGGCACGAAAGCUAGGGGAGCAAACAGG
Molecule: ribosomal RNA, 253 nt
Filed under: uncultured bacterium
Lineage: Bacteria
Description: partial 16S ribosomal RNA
Rfam family: Bacterial small subunit ribosomal RNA
Source: RNAcentral